AACGAACGCUGGCGGCAUGCCUAACACAUGCAAGUCGAACGAGACCUUCGGGUCUAGUGGCGCACGGGUGCGUAACGCGUGGGAACCUGCCCUUAGGUUCGGAAUAACUCCCCGAAAGGGGUGCUAAUACCGGAUAAUGUCUUCGGACCAAAGAUUUAUCGCCUUUGGAUGGGCCCGCGUUGGAUUAGCUAGUUGGUAGGGUAAAAGCCUACCAAGGCGACGAUCCAUAGCUGGUCUGAGAGGAUGAUCAGCCACACUGGGACUGAGACACGGCCCAGACUCCUACGGGAGGCAGCAGUGGGGAAUAUUGGACAAUGGGCGAAAGCCUGAUCCAGCAAUGCCGCGUGAGUGAUGAAGGUCUUAGGGUUGUAAAGCUCUUUUACCCGGGAUGAGAAUGACAGUACCGGGAGAAUAAGCUCCGGCUAACUCCGUG
This 433-nucleotide ribosomal RNA is filed under the name uncultured bacterium. RNAcentral's name for it is "partial 16S ribosomal RNA". It matches the Rfam family "Bacterial small subunit ribosomal RNA", at positions 29 to 507 of the family's 1533-position model. The record is from RNAcentral.